RNAcentral lists this ribosomal RNA (540 nucleotides) under Triticum aestivum (bread wheat). RNAcentral describes it as "partial small subunit ribosomal RNA". Lineage: Eukaryota; Viridiplantae; Streptophyta; Magnoliopsida; Poales; Poaceae. The record is from RNAcentral.
AUGCUUGGCUAUGGAAAGGACUCACACUCCCACAGAGUCUUCAACCUCUAUCUCUACAAAAUCGUCGAAACUGUGGACGUGAGAUUUGAUGAAACCAAUGGUUCACAAACAGAACUCCUGCCAAGUACACUAGAUGAAGCUCCUCCAAGCGAAUCUAUCAAGCUAAUGGGAACUGGUGAAAUCAUGCCUUCUGAAGCACAACCUGAAGAGGAACUUAUCAUUUCCGCACCAAAUCAACCUGAAGACAAUGCUCAGACCGAAGACAAUCCUCCCAAUGAUGACAAUGAUCAGCAAGAGCAAAGUCUUCGUCCGGUUCAUCCUCGUGUUGCAAAUGAAGUACCAAUUGAGAAGAUAAUUGACAGCAUAAUUGCGCCUGGUCCACUUACUCGCUCAAGAGCAACACAGUUAGCAAACUUUUGUGGGCACUUUUCAUUUGUGUCAAUAUCAAAACCCAAGAAAGUUGCUGAAGCUUUUAUGGAACCUGAAUGGAUUCAAGCUAUGCAAGAAGAACUUCAACAGUUCAAGCUAAACAAUGUUUAG